GAUUAUGGCUCAGAACGAACGCUGGCGGCAUGGAUUAGGCAUGCAAGUCGAACGGGAGCAGCAAUGCUCCAGUGGCGCAAGGGUGAGGAACACGUGAACAACCUGCCUUCGAGUUGGGGAUAGCUUCUGGAAACGGGAGAUAAUACCGAAUAACAUCACCGGAUCGCAUGAUCUGAUGAUCAAAGCAGCAAUGCGCUUGAAGAGGGGUUCGCGUCCCAUUAGCUAGUUGGUGAGGUAACGGCCCACCAAGGCGAUGAUGGGUAGCUGGUCUGAGAGGACGAUCAGCCACAUUGGGACUGAGAUACUGCCCAGACUCCUACGGGAGGCUGCAGUCGAGAAUUUUGGGCAAUGGACGAAAGUCUGACCCAGCCAAUGCCGCGUGCGGGAUGAAGGUCUUCGGAUUGUAAACCGCUGUCAAGAGGGACGAAAUUUGACGGUACCUCUGGAGGAAGCCACGGCUAACUACGUGCCAGCAGCAGC
This 480-nucleotide ribosomal RNA is filed under the name uncultured bacterium. RNAcentral's name for it is "bacterial SSU rRNA". It matches the Rfam family "Bacterial small subunit ribosomal RNA", at positions 15 to 518 of the family's 1533-position model. The record is from RNAcentral.